AACGCGAAGAACCUUACCUGGGUUUGACAUCCCCGGACCGCGCUGGAGACAGCGAAUCUGUAGCAAUACAGCCGGGAGACAGGUGCUGCAUGGCUGUCGUCAGCUCGUGUGGUGACAUGUUGGGUUAAGUCCCGCAACGAGCGCAACCCUUGUCCUUAGUUGCCAGCAUUCAGUUGGGCUCUCUAAGGAGACUGCCGUGGUUAACACGGAGGAAGGUGGGGAUGACGUCAAGUCCUCAUGGCCUUUAUAUCCAGGGCGACACACGUGAUACAAUGGACGGUACAGAGGGAAGCGAAACCGCGAGGUGGAGCCAAUCUCAAAAAGCCGUUCUCAGUUCGGAUUGGAGUCUGCAACUCGACUCCAUGAAGUUGGAAUCGCUAGUAAUCGCGGAUCAGCACGCCGCGGUGAAUACGUUCCCGGGCCUUGUACACACCGAGUAUA
Molecule: ribosomal RNA, 441 nt
Filed under: uncultured bacterium
Lineage: Bacteria
Description: bacterial SSU rRNA
Rfam family: Bacterial small subunit ribosomal RNA
Source: RNAcentral